RNAcentral lists this unclassified non-coding RNA (499 nucleotides) under Ceratitis capitata (Mediterranean fruit fly). RNAcentral describes it as "adhesive plaque matrix protein, transcript variant X3". Lineage: Eukaryota; Metazoa; Arthropoda; Insecta; Diptera; Tephritidae. The record is from RNAcentral.
AUGUUUACAAACUUAGAAAAAAAAUAAAAUGAAAUAAAAAAAACAUAUUGUAGAGAAAUAGAUAAUUUCCACAAACUUCAAAUAACGGUAUAUUUGAAUAUGAUUAAAUAAAGAUUUGUGUUUACUUUUGACGUCUUUUUUUAAUAAAAAGAAUCAUUCAUAGAGUGCACAAAGCAAGCUGGGAGUGAACAUGCGGCGAUUGUGUAAAUUCGUUCUCAAUUCAGCAUUAUAUAACUAAAAUCAUUUAAAGAUGCAAAUGAAACCUCAAAAUGUUGUAAUUAAAAAAUAAUUAAAAAUUAUAAUAAUAUGCGGCUUGUUUACGGCAUUUAGUUGCUGCCAAUUAAGAGUGAAAUGUAAUCUAUUAUGAGAGUCAAAUCUAUAAUGAGCUGGUAUUUUCUAGCAUGUGCUCAGAGCAACCAUAUCAUUUCUUCUGCUAAUAUCAUGAAUUAAAUACAAAGAUAAUUCGAGAAAACAAUGUGUUAAAAACAAAAAAUAAAAA